Molecule: ribosomal RNA, 499 nt
Filed under: uncultured Glomeromycotina
Lineage: Eukaryota; Fungi; Glomeromycota
Description: partial small subunit ribosomal RNA
Rfam family: Eukaryotic small subunit ribosomal RNA
Source: RNAcentral
CCAAUAGCGUAUAUUAAAGUUGCUGCAGUUAAAAAGCUCGUAGUUGAAUUUCGGGACCAAUAUGUCGGUCGUGCUUCGGUACGUACUGUCAUUAUUGGUUUCUCCCUUCUGAAGAACCUUGAUGUCAUUAAUUUGGUGUCUUGGGGAAUCAGGACUGUUACUUUGAAAAAAUUAGAGUGUUUAAAGCAGGCUCGCGCUUGAAUACAUUAGCAUGGAAUAAUGAAAUAGGACGUUUGAUUCUAUUUUGUUGGUUUCUAGGAUCGACGUAAUGAUUAAUAGGGAUAGUUGGGGGCAUUAGUAUUCAAUUGUCAGAGGUGAAAUUCUUGGAUUUAUUGAAGACUAACUACUGCGAAAGCAUUUGCCAAGGAUGUUUUCAUUAAUCAAGAACGAAAGUUAGGGGAUCGAAGACGAUCAGAUACCGUCGUAGUCUUAACCAUAAACUAUGCCGACUAGGGAUCGGAUGGUGUUAAUUUUUUAAUGACUCAUUCGGCGCCUUGCG